CGGUAUGGCUCAAUGGCAGAGCAACAGUUUUGUAAACUGUGGGUUGUGGGUUCGACUCCCUCUACCG
RNAcentral lists this transfer RNA (67 nucleotides) under human gut metagenome. It matches the Rfam family "tRNA". Rfam says of the family: Transfer RNA (tRNA) molecules are approximately 80 nucleotides in length. Their secondary structure includes four short double-helical elements and three loops (D, anti-codon, and T loops). Further hydrogen bonds mediate the characteristic L-shaped molecular structure. tRNAs have two regions of fundamental functional importance: the anti-codon, which is responsible for specific mRNA codon recognition, and the 3' end, to which the tRNAs corresponding amino acid is attached (by aminoacyl-tRNA synthetases). tRNAs cope with the degeneracy of the genetic code in two manners: having more than one tRNA (with a specific anti-codon) for a particular amino acid; and 'wobble' base-pairing, i.e. permitting non-standard base-pairing at the 3rd anti-codon position. RNAcentral also lists the same sequence under 2 other names. The record is from RNAcentral.